Molecule: ribosomal RNA, 497 nt
Filed under: uncultured bacterium
Lineage: Bacteria
Description: partial 16S ribosomal RNA
Rfam family: Bacterial small subunit ribosomal RNA
Source: RNAcentral
GAUGAACGCUGGCGGCGUGCCUAAUACAUGCAAGUCGAGCGAACAGACGAGGAGCUUGCUCCUCUGACGUUAGCGGCGGACGGGUGAGUAACACGUGGAUAACCUACCUAUAAGACUGGGAUAACUUCGGGAAACCGGAGCUAAUACCGGAUAAUAUAUUGAACCGCAUGGUUCAAUAGUGACAGACGGUUUUGCUGUCACUUAUAGAUGGAUCCGCGCCGCAUUAGCUAGUUGGUAAGGUAACGGCUUACCAAGGCCACGAUGCGUAGCCGACCUGAGAGGGUGUACGGCCACACUGGAACUGAGCCACGGUCCAGACUCCUACGGGAGGCAGCGGUAGGGAAUCUUCCGAGAUGGGCGAAAGCCUGACGGAGCAACGCCGCGUGAGUGAUGAAGGGCUUCGGAUCGGAAAACGCUGUUAGUAGUGAAGAACAAAUGUGUAAGUAACGAUGCACGUCUUGACGGUACCUAAUCAGAAAGCCACGGCUAACUACGUG